This 1363-nucleotide ribosomal RNA is filed under the name uncultured bacterium. Its description in RNAcentral is "bacterial SSU rRNA". It matches the Rfam family "Bacterial small subunit ribosomal RNA", at positions 28 to 1381 of the family's 1533-position model. The record is from RNAcentral.
AUUGAACGCUGGCGGUAUGCUUAACACAUGCAAGUCGAACGGAAACGAUACUAGCUUGCUAGUAGGCGUCGAGUGGCGGACGGGUGAGUAACGCGUAGGAAUCUGCCCGAUAGUGGGGGAUAGCCCGAAGAAAUUCGGAUUAAUACCGCAUAAUCUAUUCGUAGUAAAGUGGGGGACUUUCGAGCCUCACGCUAUCAGAUGAGCCUGCGUAAGAUUAGCUUGUUGGUAGGGUAAAAGCCUACCAAGGCGACGAUCUUUAGCUGGUCUGAGAGGAUGAUCAGCCACAUCGGGACUGAGACACGGCCCGAACUCCUACGGGAGGCAGCAGUGGGGAAUAUUGGACAAUGGGGGCAACCCUGAUCCAGCAAUACCGCGUGUGUGAAGAAGGCCUGAGGGUUGUAAAGCACUUUCAAUUGUGAAGAAAAGUUAGCGGUUAAUAACCGUUAGCCUUGACGUUAACUUUAGAAGAAGCACCGGCUAACUCCGUGCCAGCAGCCGCGGUAAUACGGAGGGUGCAAGCGUUAAUCGGAAUUACUGGGCGUAAAGCGUGCGUAGGCGGUUUAUUAAGUCAGAUGUGAAAGCCCCGGGCUUAACCUGGGAACUGCAUUUGAAACUGGUCAACUAGAGUAUGGUAGAGGAAAGUGGAAUUUCUGGUGUAGCGGUGAAAUGCGUAGAUAUCAGAAGGAACAUCAAUGGCGAAGGCAGCUUUCUGGACCAAUACUGACGCUGAGGUACGAAAGCGUGGGUAGCAAACAGGAUUAGAUACCCUGGUAGUCCACGCCGUAAACGAUGAUAACUAGCCGUUGGGGGGGAUUUACCCUUUAGUGGCGAAGCUAACGCGUUAAGUUAUCCGCCUGGGGAGUACGGCCGCAAGGUUAAAACUCAAAGGAAUUGACGGGGACCCGCACAAGCGGUGGAGCAUGUGGUUUAAUUCGAUGCAACGCGAAGAACCUUACCUGGUCUUGACAUCCUGCGAACUUUCUAGAAAUAGACUGGUGCCUUCGGGAACGCAGUGACAGGUGCUGCAUGGCUGUCGUCAGCUCGUGUCGUGAGAUGUUGGGUUAAGUCCCGUAACGAGCGCAACCCCUAUCCUUAUUUGCCAGCACAUCAUGGUGGGAACUAUAAGGAGACUGCCGGUGAUAAACCGGAGGAAGGCGGGGACGACGUCAAGUCAUCAUGGCCCUUACGACCAGGGCUACACACGUGCUACAAUGGGAAGGACAAAGAGCCGCGAAGCCGCGAGGUGUAGCUAAUCUCAUAAACCUUUUCGUAGUCCGGAUUGGAGUCUGCAACUCGACUCCAUGAAGUCGGAAUCGCUAGUAAUCGUAGAUCAGAAUGCUACGGUGAAUACGUUCCCGGGUCU